ACACGAGUGAACAUGUAGCAGAAGAGGGGGUCCUCUCAGUGAUUAAGUCACAGAAGCUGCAAUGAAUUCUGUCAUGGCCCUGAAGUAUGCUUUGUUCCCAUGGAAAAGAACCUAACUGAAGACUGAUAGCGUGGACAUGUUUCUGGCAUCAGGGAUGAGGCCUCCACUGGAGAAUUGCUGUCCUGAAAUAGGAUGCACAUCUCAGACAUGGUGCUGCUUUUAUUUUUCUAGCUGAAUUGAUUCUUCAGAUGGGAUUUAACACCCAAUCAGCAACUAAACU
Molecule: long non-coding RNA, 280 nt
Filed under: Zalophus californianus (California sea lion)
Lineage: Eukaryota; Metazoa; Chordata; Mammalia; Carnivora; Otariidae
Description: lncRNA (ENSZCAG00015023619.1)
Source: RNAcentral